CAAAAACUCAUCGAACCUUGAAAAAUCACUCCUAACGUUAACAAAGGCAAAGAAAUACUCGUAUGGGCUAUUGCUAUGCCUUAGUAUUGUACUCCACAAUACAACAGUAAUAUCACUACCAAAUUGGUUUCCAUUUCCGGUUGCGUAAAGUUGAGGUGCCGAGAUUCAAAGUCGUCGAUUGAAGCAGCAAUCCACCGGAAGCGAAUUAAAUCAUCGGCCGGCGGAUUCAAUCAGUUCGAGUUGCUAAAUGGAUCGAGAUGCUGCGACGAAGAAGAUAAUGUCACCAUGCGAUGUGGAGGCUUUGAAGAAAUGCUUGGAAGAAAAUAAAGGUGAUUACGUAAAGUGUCAAGCACAAAUUGAAGCUUUUAAAUCUUCUUGUUCUGUUAAGAAACCCAAUUCUUCUUCUACUGCUAGUUUUGAUAACAAAACCGUUCCUAGAUAGUAUGGAAGAUGCUAAAUAUGAAUUUUGAUUAGUUUGUUUGUAUACCAAUAUUUUAAUAUUUGCUUUGUAAUC
This is a long non-coding RNA of Amaranthus tricolor (Joseph's coat), 514 nucleotides long. RefSeq lists it as uncharacterized. Lineage: Eukaryota; Viridiplantae; Streptophyta; Magnoliopsida; Caryophyllales; Amaranthaceae. The record is from RefSeq and is a predicted model, not a curated record. The transcript is spliced from 2 exons.